RNAcentral lists this long non-coding RNA (208 nucleotides) under Gossypium barbadense (sea-island cotton). Its description in RNAcentral is "long non-coding RNA (GBAR_LNC006003)". The record is from RNAcentral. Lineage: Eukaryota; Viridiplantae; Streptophyta; Magnoliopsida; Malvales; Malvaceae.
UCAAUUUUGCCACCCUUUAUGGCAUUCUCAACCAUCUCUCCCGCCAUGACUAUAUUCGCAAAGCUUUUGGUGUGCUCCCAAUCAUGUGAGUGAUGAAUGAAGCUUUUAGAGUGUUGAUGAACAACAUGGUAGUCUCCUUCUCCAACAACGGUGGUUGGACUUGCAUUGCUACCUCUCUCCAUCUCUGUGCAUAUUGCCUAAAAUUUUC